Molecule: long non-coding RNA, 3650 nt
Organism: Heterocephalus glaber (naked mole-rat)
Lineage: Eukaryota; Metazoa; Chordata; Mammalia; Rodentia; Bathyergidae
Source: Ensembl
CUGCGCUGACCCCUGUGCCCCACGUGUGCCGGGUGCCCACCCUGGGGUGCCGGGGUCCCCGCCUCUAGAGAGCAGCGCUCCUCGCGAGUCCCGGGCGCCCCCGCGCCUCGCCCCACCUCCGCGGCGCCUGGCUCGCCCUCCCCCACGUCAGGUGCUCACCCCGUCAGCGCCGCACCCCGGGGCGCGGCCGGGGACCCGGCUUUGCGUUCCUGAGAUUGAGGAUGUCGGGCGGCGGUCCUCCUCCCGGCAGGAGGUCCCGGUAGUUCCCCAGGACCCUCCACACGCUCCAAGGGGCUUCUGACUGGUUUCUGUAAAGAUUAUGGACUUUAUUAGCAUUCCUGCUCUAAGGAUUGCCAAUCAUGGGGGAAUGUCCACUGUCAUUAAAACUUCUGAAAAUUCAGACAGGUCAGUACACAGAAUCUUAUGCAGGAACCCAUAUCACAGUUUAUAAUGUCAUUUUAAUUUCUAAUCAUAAUUGCCAAUCUUUGUACAGCUUCUUUUUUGUUUUGUUUUUUUGAGACAGGGUCUCACUUUGUAGUCCAGACUGGCCUUAAACUCAUUAGGUACCCCAGGCUAGCCCUGAACUCUUAGUUAUCAUCCUGCCUCAGCCUCCCAUUUUGUAGGUGUGCCCCACUGUGCCUGGCCCUCUUUGCCUUUUGGAUCAUGCCUCCUGAGGAAUUCAACAUUUUUAGUAAUAAAAGAAAUUAAUAUUAAUUCUCAGGACAUGGAAAUAUUCAGUCAACUCAGGGUCCCAAAGAAGUCUUACAGCUCUCGUGGUAUUUAACACAUAGGACUUUUAUUUAUUUUUGUAUGUGUUUUGUUUUGAGACAGUCUCCCUCUGAGUUCAAGUUGGCCUUGAACUCACUUGUGGCAAUCCUGCCUCAGCCUUCCUAGUACUGAGAUUACAAGCGUGGACCACCAUGCCUGGCAGGACUUUUUUUAAGUGUUGGGAAGAUAGAAUAUCUUUUUCUCAAAACAACAUGAGGGCCGGGGGAUUUAGCUCAGUGGUUCUGGUGCCUGCCUUGCAAGCACCAAAAAAAAUAAAAACAAGGUGAACCAUUCUCUGAUUAUUUAAAAUGUUCUCAGAUUCUUGAUUAUUUUUGGCAAUAGUUAGAAAUAGAUUGUAUCAUCAGAGUUCAGGUAUUUCCAGCUAUUUAAUUUGAGCUGGGUGUGGUGGGCCAAGCCUGUAAUCCUAGCUAUUUUGGAGGUUGAGGCAGGAGGACUACAGGGUCCUAGGCCAGGCUAGGUAAUACAGCAAGACUCUGUCUCAAAAUAAAAUUUUAAAAAAGAACCAGGAAUUGACUUUGUAGCCUUUUGGAGUAGAAUUUCUAACAGAUUCCAAAGUUGAUUCCUAUAGGUCUGGCACAGUGGUGCACACCUUUAAUCCCAGCCCUGUAUGAGACCCUGUCUCAAACCAAAACCAAAAUUGAUUGCUGUUACUAUAAUACUGCAUUUACUUGCACCUUUUCACUAGAGGUGCUAUGGUACACUGAAAUGGUACAGGCAAGUAAAAUACAAUUAAAACUAGGAUAAUAAGUCCAGGGAAUUAGACUUAACUAUAAUUGAGAGUUGGUUCUUUGGCUGUGGAAACUGUGUGUGUGGCAUGCGCACGCGCUGCUGGGACUUGAACUCAGGUAGUGUUCAGCUACAUCCCCCAGCCCAAACUGUCUUCCAGCCUACAGUCCUCCUGCCUCUGUUUCCCAGGUAGCUGGGAUUACAGAUGUGCAAUGCUAUGGGUCAGUUGGUUGUUUAAUCCUUAGAAUGGAAACUUGUAAAUUGAAAGAAUGACAUGUUCUGUGGAAGGGGUUUAUAAAUUCAGUCUGGAGAGCGUGGCUGUGGCAGCUUGUUGCCUUGGGUUUAAAGGUUGGUGUCACCACUGUGGCCCUAACAGUCUGGGCCGUCUCCCUGUCUUCCCAGCAGAGGCACAGAUCCUGUGGUCAGGUGAGGUGGGACCUGGCUGGACAGUGACAGCGCUGCUUCAUUGGCGUCUGUUCCAGCAGGUGGGCAGACUGCUGACCUCUUGGGCAGGAGUGCAGCUCUGCCAGGUAGAACAGAGAACCAGCAGCGCCCAGCAGCACCAUGCUAGGGCAGGAGCUGCUGAGCUGAGUGUUCCUGUGACUUCCCCUUUUGGGUGUGUUUUGUUUUGCAUUUUCCUGGUCUUGUAUGGCUAAAGGAUAAGAUUGUUUCCUAAAGUCCAAUUCAUGUAUCUGAAAUAUAUUGCUAAACAAGGCAUUCUUCUCCACAGAACCUUUUGGCUCAUUGCCCCUUGUAGAAGAAAUACCUGGUAAUGUGGUUUCCUAUGUUUAUCUUCAUUUUUCUCUACUUCAUGUGAGAAUCUGUUGAUAGGAGGCUUCUGAGUUCAAAGAAAAUGAGAAAAUAGAGAUGAAUAUGUUGAAUUUCUAGUAAAGGACACCUGAAUCUCUUCUUAGUUUAAUUAGAUGAUUAGAGUUGGAGAAAGUCUCUGAACUGAUGGAAGAUUUUUUUUUUUUUGAGACAGGGUCUCACUAUGUAGUUGUCUAGCCUUAAACUCACUAUGUAGCCCAGGCUGGCCUUGAACUAGAGAUCCUUCUGCCUCAGCCUCCCAGGGUAGGGAUCACAGGCGAGUGCCACCAUGCCCAGGUAAAGACAAUUUUCUUGAUAAGAUUUUUUAAAAAUUUGUAACCUUGUCUUUGUCAUGAAGUGGACUAUUAGAACUUGCUGUGCUUGCUUCAGCAGCACAUAUACUAGACCUUGCUUAAACUAGAGAUUUUUGUUGUGUAACUGUUUUGUAGUAAUUUUUAAACCUUUGUUGUGCUGUAGAAAUGGCGUGUAUUUAUUUUAAACUUCAGUGAAUUCUGCAGUUCUAAACUUUUGCAGAAUUUUAUAUCCACCAUAAACUAUAGUGAUUUUCCAUAUUCUUUCUGCUAAGGAUCUUUCUUAUUUUAAAAACUUUUUCACAAGCUAGAAGGGUAAAUACCAAAAUUCUCUCUAGGCACUAGGAUAAGGAUAAUAUUUUCUCCUUCAUAUUUAUUAUUUUCUGAUUUUUAUACAGAGAACAUGCAUCUCAUAAAAAUGAAAAGUUAUAUUAAAAUCAGCAGACUGUUUCCUGAAGGGCUGAGAAAGCCUAAUUAAGAGGGACGGACUGCUUUAGAGUGUUUACGUCAGAGUGGCGUGGCAUUCUGUGUGAUGAGGCGCCGACUUUGUCCCUGCUGUACAGGAAAUGGACUUGUUCUCAGAGCAGCUUUGCCCCUGUGGUGUGGAAAGUGGCAUGGGUGAGAGGGAGUGAAGACCUAGUCCAGAAAGGGAGGUGUAAAGCUCCAGGUAUGGGCUCCCUGCUGGAUGGGUGUGCUCCAUGGCCAGCUUUUAACCUUCUUGCAUGAGGCCUGCUGUGCAGACAUGAAAAGUUGCUUUCAGAAAGGUGAUGGCUUCUUUACUACAUUAUGGGAUCUCAUUUGCAAAAUGUCUGUCCUUGGGAAGCUGAAAGUGUUUUCUUGCUCGCUUUCCCAACUCUUCCUUCUUAGCUAUUUCCCCAGGCGGGUUUGUCUCCACUAGGGGCUGAGGCCUGGUUCUUGAAGCAGAGUGGGGUGGAGAGGGCAGAACUACACACAGCAGCUCCCCAGGUGGCUUUCUCAUUGCUUCCACCUCUUGUUGGAACUGAAACAAAGAUGAGG